CUUUUAUUGGUCCAUUUGAAAGGCCUGUGGGCACGCGCCGCCCGCAGCCUUAAAGGGGCCGCGCGCAGCCGUGUUUCCCUCUGGAACAGACGCCGCCUGCACGGGCGGGGACGCUGGUCGCUGCUGGGGGCAAAUCUGCCGACUCCAGAAAGAAGGGCGAAAGAUAGAUUGUGAAGCUAAGUGCUGUGAGGGAAACCAGAGGCAGCUGAGACGUGGGAGUAACAGCGAAUGAAGCCAGGACGCUGGAUUCUGACCUUGGACCUGUUCUGAAACAGUGGGGUACUCAGGGCUUACCUGGAGCAGCAGGAACAGCCUCAUUGGAACGUGCACACAGGCCCAGCCUGGCAUCCCUUUCAGAGCAUCUGUGGGGCACAGAAAACUGAAUGUGAAGCCUACUCAUACUCAGUGAAGGUCACGCCUUCCCCCAGGAAAGGGGGAAAGGCCUGUAAGUGGGGGCUUUCAGGUAUGAGAAUGUACGAGAUGGAAGAUAUCAGAGGCAUGGAGAGGGCAACAGCAGGAAAUGGAGAGAAAUCCACGCAAGGCACUGUUUUCAAGCCGUUAUACCAUGUUUAAAUGUGUUAUAAAAUAUGUACCUUUAAAAAUGAGAAGCAGGUUUGGGAGUGAGUUGGAAGUCUGCAGAAAGAAUACUAAGGACAUCAAUAUUAGGCUUUCUUAAACUACCAGCAUGAGUCAGAAGCGGCUGCUAGCCAAGCCAAUCUGAUUGGAUAAAAAUUAUCACAAGAGCUAAAUAUCCCAAGGUCAAAAAAUGUUUUUCUUCUCUUCAUUCUUUCACAAAGGAAUAUGAAAGACAUCCAGAGGGAGUGCUCAGAUAACUAACUUGAAAUGCUCAGAAGGUGACUUCUUUGUGGUAUAUUAUGAGCAGGCAAUCAAAGGCAUCUCCUAAACAGCCAGAGGAAGGCUACUUGCAAGAGCAUUUGGAACCAAGAUGCACUGAAUAUUCAAAUAGAACUCUGACAAUAAGAAAAGGUCCGAGCAGGGUCAAAAGUUUUCUAAAUAAACCUAAAGAAAAUCAGAGAGUAAUAGUGACUGAUAGUACUUAAAAGUCAGUGAGAAGGGCACAUGUUUAUACCUGGGUGUUUCCUUUUCUUUACAAACUGUAGUAAAAACAGAGAAUGGGGGCACACAGCAUAUGAAACUGAUCAUGUGCAAAUCUUGUAACUUUAGGGACAUUGAGUCUAUAGUUUUUAUUUGGGAUCAUUAUUAUGUUUCUGCUUUCAGAAUUGAAAUCAAGUGUUAACUACCUUGUAAGCUACUGACGAUAUUAAAAAUAAAGAGACCAGUAUGUUGCAGUGGAAAAAAAAAAACUGUUCAAUUAGAAAAAUGUCUAGAAAAGAUAGACAUCAAAACAUUAAGAGCACAUUAUAUAUAGGUAUAGGAUAUUCCCUUCUUCUUUAUUCACAUCUGUAUUUCCAGAUUAUUUAUUUAUUUUUGGUUUUUUGGUUUUUCUGAGACAGGGUCUCAGUCUGUCACCCAGGCUGGUGUGCAGUGGCACAAUCACAGCUCACUGCAGCCUAAACCUGGGCUCAAGCGAUCCUCCCAACCUCAGCCUCCCAAGUAGCUGGGACUACAGGCAUGGGCCACCAUGCCUGGCUAAUUAAAAAAAAAUCUUUUUUGUGGAGACAGGAUCUCACUAUGUUGCCCAGGCUUGUCUUGAAUUCCUGGACUCAUGUGAUCUGCCCACCUUGGCCUCCCAAAGUGCUGGGAUUACAGGCAUGAGCCACUGCCCCUGGCCCAGAUUAUUUUUUAUAAAAUAUAAACAGAAAACACAGUCAUUAGAAUUUUUUGCCAGGUGCAGUGUCUCACAUCUGUAAUGCCAGCACUUUGGGAUGCCUAAGCAGGUGGAUCGCUUGAGCCCAGAAGUUUAAAACCAGCCUGGGCAACAUGGUGAAGCUCCAUCUCUACAAAAAGUACAAAAAAUUAGCCAGGCAUAGUGGUACACAUUUAUAGUCCUGGCUACCUGGGAGGCUGAAGUAGGAGGAUCACAUGAAACCAGGAGGUCGAGGCUGCAGUGGGCUUGAGCUGUGUUCAUGCUACUGCACUCUAGCCUGGGUGACAGAGUGAGACCCUGUCUCAAGAAAAAAAGAAAAGAAUGUCUCUGAAUUGAAUGUAACAUCAUAUUUAAUCAAUUUUAAGAUGUUUGUUUUUUCUAUGGCCUACCAUCUCUUAAACAGGCAUGUGACUUACAAUCAAUAGCAUUUCACAUUUGCUGUUGGUUAUCUUUUCAGUUUAAUUUCUCAAAUCAGGAUGCAUUUUAUAGUGAAUAGCACCUUUAAUUUAAUGAAAUAAGAUACUUUAUACUUGAUUUGAGAA
Molecule: long non-coding RNA, 2331 nt
Organism: Symphalangus syndactylus (siamang)
Lineage: Eukaryota; Metazoa; Chordata; Mammalia; Primates; Hylobatidae
Source: RefSeq, a predicted model, not a curated record